GAGAUUUUAAAGAUUAUACAAGGAUUUCUCAAGAUGAAGAUGAUGAACAUUUUCAAGGGCGGCUAUAUAUUAGGACGAGUCUAUCAAAAUGAUGUACAUUAACCUAGUCAAGCAUAGAUUAGGGGGGUGUUAAGGAUUAAUUAAAAUCCUAAUAAUCCAUGCUUUAUGUCGGUUGUGUAGUUAGCAACCGUCUAAUUACUGCCUGUGCAGUUACCGUCUUGUACUGGGUAUAAAUACCCCAACAUUCAUCAAUGAGAAGACUGUUCAUUUUCAAUCAUUCGCUUCUCUCUCUCGUUUACUUUUAACA
Molecule: long non-coding RNA, 307 nt
Filed under: Hordeum vulgare
Lineage: Eukaryota; Viridiplantae; Streptophyta; Magnoliopsida; Poales; Poaceae
Description: long non-coding RNA (HVUL_LNC007480)
Source: RNAcentral